Molecule: ribosomal RNA, 292 nt
Filed under: uncultured Acidobacteriota bacterium
Lineage: Bacteria; Pseudomonadati; Acidobacteriota
Description: uncultured Acidobacteria bacterium partial 16S ribosomal RNA
Source: RNAcentral
GGACUACCAGGGUUUCUAAUCCUGUUUGCUACCCACGCUUUCGUGCCUCAGCGUCAGUCAUGGUCCAGUAAGCUGCCUACACCACAGGUGUUCCUCCUGAUAUCUACGCAUUUCACCGCUACACCAGGAAUUCCGCUUACCUCUCCCAUACUCGAGCACUCCAGUUUCCGGCGCACCCUCCCAGUUGAGCCGGGAGAUUUCACACCAGACUUAGAGCACCGCCUACGCACUCUUUACGCCCAGUAAUUCCGAACAACGCUCGCUGCCUACGUAUUACCGCGGCUGCUGGCAC